This 403-nucleotide ribosomal RNA is filed under the name uncultured bacterium. Its description in RNAcentral is "partial 16S ribosomal RNA". It matches the Rfam family "Bacterial small subunit ribosomal RNA", at positions 28 to 526 of the family's 1533-position model. The record is from RNAcentral.
GACGAACGCUGGCGGCGUGCCUAAUACAUGCAAGUCGAACGCAGUGGGGACGGGUGAGUAACACGUGGGUAACCUCCCAUCAGAGGGGAGAACACGUGGAAACAGGUGCUAACCCGAAAUUGAAGGAUGGACCCGCGGUGCAUUAGCUAGUUGGUGGGGUAACGGCUCACCAAGGCAACGAUGCAUAGCCGGUCUGAGAGGGUGAUCAGCCACACUGGGACUGAGACACGGUCCAGACUCCUACGGGAGGCAGCAGUAGGGAAUAUUCGGCAAUGGACGAAAGUCUGACGGAGCAACGCCGCGUGAGUGAAGAAGGUUUUCGGGUCGUAAAGUUCUGUUGGUGGGGAGGCGGUAUCUGACGAGAAAGCCCCGGCUAACUACGUGCCAGCAGCCGCGGUAAUUC